AUAUAUAUUAUAAAAAAAUUUGAUAAAAUAAUAAAUAAAAAAUAUUAAAAAUAUACAUUAUAUUUUAAGUUAAAAAAAAUCAUCUAGAUCCCUAUGUGUUCCAUCUUUCUUUGUUCCUUUUUCAUAUGCAGUUUCAUAAUCCCUGAGAUAAGUAGUUCUGGCCCUAAAGUGUUAUAUAUAUAAGCGUCUGUAGCAUGUAUUAGGAACAUGUUAUCAUAUCUGUGUCUUUUUUUACUGGUGACUGAUGCCCCGUGAGGUGACUGUGACAUAUACCUUCGUCAGCUGCAAAAAAGGAACCGCGAGACAGUUACCAGAUGUCUGCCCCAACCGGGAGGAGCUGCUAUUGGAAAGUUAAGUAUCUAUAUUUAUCACUUCUGCCAUGUCAUUGUUGUAUAACACUCUAUCUUUAUACUUCAUCCAGAAGGUGUUCAUUAUAUACCUUGUCUGUUUUUGUGAUAACCGUUAUGGUCAGCCCCAUCUCUAGUACCGGCAGGUUAGAUAGUGUCUAUCUAUGCAUGACUUGUUCCAUUGCUAACUUGGGGGAGUUAUCAAUGUGGCACCAUGUGUAGAUAGAAAUAACUGAGGGUUAACUAGUUAUUAUGUCUAUUAUUGUAACAUACUAUUCAGCAUCAGUAGAACAAUAGUCAGUGCCUACUAAAUACAACUAGGACUUUCCUAAUGCAUUCCUACCUUCAAGUAUGGCUGAUACCUCGACUGAGGAUUUGCAGCCACUAUCGUUGUUUUUUUACAUGCUGCUUUUUUAUCUUUUGUGUUGGUUCUGCUCUUCGUUGUUUUUCAAGUUGCUUCAUUUUCUAACAGCUUUUGUGUCUUUCUCACAAGUAUCUAGGUAGGUUUUUUUUUUAGAAUUAUUUUCCUGUAGAGCAAGAAUAUUUGAUGCUGCCUGCUAGCCCUGGACACUAAUACCCAAGAAAGAGUGAGACGACCAUCUGCCCAGACUGGAAGGAGCUACGAUGAGACGAAUUCUUUUCCUGUAGAGCAAGAAUAUUUGACACUGCCUGCUAGCCCUGGACACUAAUACCCAAGAAAGAGUGAGACGACCAUCUGCCCAGUCUAGAAGGAGCUACGAUGAGACGGUAAGGCCUAUGCCAUUGACUUGUUCUAAUAGCCUGUGUCUUUGUGCUUCAUCCAGAAGCUGUUCUAUUGUGUAAGACAACCCACACCUGGGAGGAGCUGCUGUCAGACCAAUAAGUUACUAACUUUGAGCUAUGUCAUAUUCUUGUUCUAGAAGUAUCUAUCAGUUUGCUUUCUCCAGGUGUUACUUAUCUUCCCUGGCUGGAAUUGUGGACCUACACGUAAGUAAAUUAAAUAAAAUCAUGUCUCUUCUUGUCAAAAUGUGUUCAAUUUAGGGGGUAAUUUGUAUAAUGAUUUUCUGUCUCUUGCCUUUGCCAGUCGCCGCCUACCGUGGCAGUCAUUGCCAAAUUUGGCAAUUUACCAUAUAAUUCUAUGGUGAAUGUCAGCCCCAUCUCUAGUACUAGCAGGUUAGAUAGUAGCUACCUAUGCAUGACUUGUUGCAUUGCUAACUUGGGGGGGUUAUCAAUGUGGCACCAUGUGUAGAUAGCCUUAGUAACUAGUUAAUAGUCAGUGCCUACUAAAUGAAGGUAGGAAUGAAUUAGGAAAGUCCUAGCUGUAAGUAUGGCUGAUACCACUAUUAUUGUUUUUUUACGUGCUGCUUUUUUAUUUUUAUUUUUUUGUUCGACUCUUCAUUGUUGCUUCAUUUUCUAACAGCUUUUGUCUUUCUCACAAGUAUCUAGGUUUUUUUUUUUUUUUGGUUGGUAUUUUUAAUUCUAUUCCUGUAGAGCCACAAUAUUGGAUGCUGCCUUCUAGCCCUGGACACUGGUACCCAAGAAAGAGUGAGACGCCCAUCUGCCCAGACUGGAAGGAGCUACGAUGAGACGGUAAGGCCUAUGCCAUUGACUUGAUCUAAUAGCCUGUGUCUUUGUGCUUCAUCCAGAAGCUGUUCUAUUGUGUAAGACAACACACACCUGGGAGGAGCUGCUGUCAGACCAAUAAGUAACUAACUUUGACCUAUGUUAUAUUCUUGUUCUAGAAGUAUCUAUCAGUUUGCUUUCUCCAGGUAUUCCUUAUCUUCCCUGGCUGGAAUUGUGGACCUACACGUAAGUAAAUAAAAGCAUGUCUGUUCUUGUCAAAAUGUGUUAUAUUUAGGGGGUAAUUUGUUUUCUGUCUCUUGCCUUUGCCAGUUGCCGCCUACCAUGGCAGUCUUUGCCAAAUUUGGCAAUUUACCAUAUAAUUCUAUGGUGAAUGUCAGCGCCAUUCCUUUUACCGGCAGGUUAGAUAGUAGCUACCUAUGCAUGACUUGUUGCAUUGCUAACUUGGGGGAGUUAUCAAUGUGGCACCAUGUGUAGAUAGCCAUAAUAACUAGUUAACCCUAAAUAAUCCAGUUAUUUCUGUUAUUGUAACAUACUAUUCAGCAUCAGUAGAACAAUAGUCAGUGCCUACUAAAUGAAGGUAGGAAUGAAUUAGGAAAGUCCUAGCUGUAAGUAUGGCUGAUACCUCGACUGAGGAUCUGCAGCCACUAUCAUUGUUUUUAACAUGCUGCUUUUUUAUCUUUUGUGUCCGGCUCUUUGUUGCUCUAUUUUCUAACAGCUUUUGUCUCUCACAAGUAUCUAGGUGUGUUUAGAAUUAUUUUUCCUGUAGAGCAAGAAUAUUUGAUGCUGCCUGCUAGCCCUGGACACUGAUACCCAAGAAAGAGUGAGACGACCAUCUGCCCAGACUGGAAGGAGCUGAGUUAAAACGGUAAGGUCUUUCCUAUAUGGUUAAUGCCAUAGGCUUGUUCUAAUAGCCUGUGUCUUUGUACUUAAUUCACUCAUUUAUCCAAAUCCAUUUUGCACUGUGCUAUAUAGCAUUAAAGGAGCCCUGUAGUGUCACACUUAUCCCCUAUCCACAGGAUAGGGCAUAAGUGUCUGUGGAGGGCUCAGACCGCUGGGACCCCCACAUGAUGUUCCGUACGGGGACCCGGCAUUGCUUUGGCUCUGCGCGGCUAAUGCACAUGUCUCUGACCUCACUGAUGUAGACAUGCCCCUUCCAUACUUCAUCUCUGCCUCUCCCAUAGAGAUACAUUUAGGGGGCGUGUACGCAGUGGCAGGCAGGCCCCCUGCACGAGAGGGCCGCUGCAGAGCCGGGCCCCCACACAGGAGAUUGCAGGUGUUCCAGUGUUCAUACCCCCGCGAUCAGACACUUAUCCCCUAUACUGUGGAUGGAUAGGGGAUAAGUGUCUAACACUGCAGAUCUCCUUUAAGGAGUCAGACAUUUUUUUAUUUUUAUUAAAAUUGAAAAUUUGCUUCAUUUUCUAACAGCUUUUAUGUCUUUCUCACAAGUAUCUAGGUAGGUUUUUUUUUUAGAAUUGUUUUCCUGUAGAGCAAGAAUAUUGGAUGCUGCCUGCUAGCCCUGGACACUAAUACCCAAGAAACAGUGAGACGACCAUCUGCCCAGACUGGAAGGAGCUACGAUGAGACGGUAAGGCCUAUGCCAUUGACUUGAUCUAAUAGCCUGUGUCUUUGUGCUUCAUCCAGAAGCUGUUCUAUUGUGUAAGACAACACACACCUGGGAGGAGCUGCUGUCAGACCAAUAAGUUACUAACUUUGACCUAUGUCAUAUUCGUGUUCUAGAAGUAUCUAUCAGUUUGCUUUCUCCAGGUAUUCCUUAUCUUCCCUGGCUGGAAUUGUGGACCUACACGUAAGUAAAUGAAAUCAUGUCUGUUCUUGUCAAAAUAUGUUAUAUUUAGGGGGCAAUUUGUUUAAUUACAUAAUUAAAUGACUUUCUGUUGCCAGUGACCGCCUACCCUGGCAGUCUGGCAAUUUACCAUAUAAUUCUAUGGUGAAUGUCAGCCCCAUUCCUAGUACCGGCAGGUUAGAUAGUAGCUACCUAUGCAUGACUUGUUCCAUUGCUAACUUGGGGGAGUUAUCAAUGUGGCACCAUGUGUAGAUAGCCAUAAUAACUAGUUAACCCUCAGUUAUUUCUGUUAUUGUAAUAUACUAUUCAGCAUUAGUAGAACAAUAGUCAGUGCCUACUAAAUGAAGGUAGGAAUGCAUUAGGAAAGUCCUAGCUGUAAGUAUGGCUGAUACCUCGACUGAGUAUUUGCAGCCACUAUCAUUGUUGUUUUUAACAUGCUACUUUUUUAUUUGUUUGGCUCUUCAUUGUUGCUUCAUAUUUUCUAACAGCUUUUGUCUUUCUCACAAGUAUCUAGGUUUUUGUUUUUGUUUUUUUUAAUUCUAUUCCUGUAGAGCCACAAUAUUUGAUUCUGCCUGCUAGCCCUGGACACUGAUACCCAAGAGAGUGAGACGCCCAUCUGCGCAGACUGGAAGGAGCUAUGAUGAGACGGUAAGGCCUAUGCCAUUGACUUGUUCGAAUAGCCUGUGUCUUUGUGCUUCAUCCAGAAGCUGUUCUAUUGUGUAAGACAAUCCACACCUGGGAGGAGCUGCUGUCAGACCAAUAAGUUACUAACUUUGACCUAUGUCAUAUUCUUGUUCUAGAAGUAUCUAUCAGUUUGCUUUCUCCAGGUGUUACUCAUCUUCCCUGGCUGGAAUUGUGGACCUACACGUAAGUUAAUAAAAGCAUGUCUGUUCUUGUCAAAAUGUGUUAUAUUUAGGGGACAAUUUAUUAAAUUACAUAAUUAAAUGACUUUGUCUCUUGCCAGUCACCGCCUACCUUGGCAGUCUGGCAAUUUACCAUAUAAUUCUAUGGUGAAUGUCAGCCCCAUCUCUAGUACUAGCAGGUUAGAUAGUAGCUACCUAUGCAUGACUUGUUGCAUUGCUAACUUGGGGGGGUUAUCAAUGUGGCACCAUGUGUAGAUAGCCAUAAUAACUAGUUAACCCUCAGUUAUUUCUAUUAUUGUCAUACUAUUCAGCAUUAGUAGAACAAUAGUCAGUGCCUACUAAAUGAAGGUAGGAAUGCAUUAGGAAAGUCCUAGCUGUAAGUAUGGCUGAUACCUUGACUGAGAAUUUGCAGCCGCUAUCAUUGUUGUUUUUAACAUGCUGCUUUUUUAUCUUUUGUGUUUGUUCGGCUCUUCAUUAUUGCUUCAUUUUCUAACAGCUUUUGUCUUUCUCACAAGUAGCUAGGUAGUUUUUUGUUUUUUUUUAGAAUUCUUUUCCUGUAGAGCCACAAUAUUUGAUGCUGCCUGCUAACCCUGGACACUGAUACCCAAGAAAGAGUGAGACGACCAUCUGCCCAGACUGGAAGGAGCUACGAUGAGACGUUUUCUUUCUCCAGGUAUUCCUUAUCUUCCCUCUUUGGAAUUGUGGACCUAUGCAUUUGGCAAGUUCAUUCUACUACAUGGUGUAGCAGACCAUGGCAAGAACCUUUAAACUUACUACCUUACCAGUCAUUGAAUCUACAUAAGACAAGAUAUGACAUCUAGCAAAAAUAGUAUGGUAUGAGAAGUUUAUUCUACUACCCGGUAUAGAAGACCAUAUAAAGAACAUUUAACAACUUCCUACCUUACCAUACUCCGCUCCAGACAUGCUAUUAGCAGAAGUCUUGACAUCUUGCCAAAAUCAUAUGAUCCUCACUUCUGCACUUUGUUCUGUGAAGUAAUCAACAGUUUCCACUAUGAAAAUCUCCAGCAACAUGAAAACCUGCCCGGGCUCCAUUGUCAGAGUUCCAAAAGUUUAAACAUUUAGCCUUUUUUUUUUUUUUUUUUGUCUUCUACAAAAAAAUUUUUUUAACUUAUUUCUUGCUAUUCUGUAAAUAAAA
Hyla sarda is the source of this 5730-nucleotide long non-coding RNA. RefSeq lists it as uncharacterized. Lineage: Eukaryota; Metazoa; Chordata; Amphibia; Anura; Hylidae. The record is from RefSeq and is a predicted model, not a curated record. The transcript has 7 exons.